Molecule: transfer RNA, 63 nt
Filed under: Coleoptera sp. ACP-2013
Lineage: Eukaryota; Metazoa; Arthropoda; Insecta; Coleoptera
Description: tRNA-Phe
Source: RNAcentral
UACUUAAAUAGCUUAAUUUUAGAGCGUAUCGUUGAAGUUGAUAGGGUAAUAUUUUUUUUAAGU